This 468-nucleotide ribosomal RNA is filed under the name uncultured bacterium. RNAcentral describes it as "partial 16S ribosomal RNA". It matches the Rfam family "Bacterial small subunit ribosomal RNA", at positions 28 to 507 of the family's 1533-position model. The record is from RNAcentral.
GACGAACGCUGGCGGCGUGCUUAACACAUGCAAGUCGAACGGAAAGGCCCUGCUUUUGUGGGGUGCUCGAGUGGCGAACGGGUGAGUAACACGUGAGUAACCUGCCCUUGACUUUGGGAUAACUUCAGGAAACUGGGGCUAAUACCGGAUAGGAGCUCCUGCUGCAUGGUGGGGGUUGGAAAGUUUCGGCGGUUGGGGAUGGACUCGCGGCUUAUCAGCUUGUUGGUGGGGUAGUGGCUUACCAAGGCUUUGACGGGUAGCCGGCCUGAGAGGGUGACCGGCGACAUUGGGACUGAGGUACGGCCCAGACUGCUACGGGAGGCAGCAGUGGGGAAUAUUGCACAAUGGGCGGAAGCCUGAUGCAGCAACGCCGCGUGCGGGAUGACGGCCUUCGGGUUGUAAACCGCUUUCGCCUGUGACGCAGCGUGAGUGACGGUAAUGGGUGAAGAAGCACCGGCUAACUACGUG